CCAAUAGCGUAUAUUAAAGUUGUUGCAGUUAAAAAGCUCGUAGUUGAAUUUCGGGAUUUGCUCAUCGGUCACGUCUUCCCGGGCGUGUGCUGGUGAUGCUAAUCCCUCUCUCCUAGCGAACUGUUAUGUCUUUCAUUAGGUGUGACGGGGAACUAGGACUGUUACUUUGAAGAAAUUAGAGUGUUUAAAGCGGGCUUACGCUUGAAUAGAUUAGCAUGGAAUAACGGAAUAGGACGGCAUGAUCCUAUUUUGUUGGUUUCUAGGGUCACCGUAAUGAUUAAUAGGGAUAGUUGGGGGCAUUAGUAUUCAAUUGUCAGAGGUGAAAUUCUUGGAUUUAUUGAAGACUAACUACUGCGAAAGCAUUUGCCAAGGAUGUUUUCAUUAAUCAAGAACGAAAGUUAGGGGAUCGAAGACGAUCAGAUACCGUCGUAGUCUUAACCAUAAACUAUGCCGACUAGGGAUCGGAUGAUGUUAAUUUUUUAAUGACUCA
RNAcentral lists this ribosomal RNA (490 nucleotides) under Glomeromycotina sp. Its description in RNAcentral is "SSU rRNA". It matches the Rfam family "Eukaryotic small subunit ribosomal RNA", at positions 591 to 1078 of the family's 1831-position model. The record is from RNAcentral. Lineage: Eukaryota; Fungi; Glomeromycota.